CCUACGGGUGGCAGCAGUGAGGAAUAUUGGUCAAUGGACGGAAGUCUGAACCAGCCAUGCCGCGUGCAGGAUGACGGCUCUAUGAGUUGUAAACUGCUUUUGUACCGGGGUAAAAUGCCUUACGUGUAGGGUUUUGAAAGUACGGUACGAAUAAGGAUCGGCUAACUCCGUGCCAGCAGCCGCGGUAAUACGGAGGAUCCGAGCGUUAUCCGGAUUGAUUGGGUUUAAAGGGUGCGUAGGUUGUUUUAUAAGUUAGCGGUGAAAUACCGAUGCUCAACAUCGGGGCUGCCGCUAAUACUGUAGGACUAGAGAUCGGAUGCAGCAGGCGGAAUGUGUAGUGUAGCGGUGAAAUGCAUAGAUAUUACACAGAACACCGAUUGCGAAGGCAGCUUGCUAGGCCGGAUCUGACACUGAUGCACGAAAGCGUGGGGAGCAAACAGGAUUAGAUACCCUUGUAGUC
This 460-nucleotide ribosomal RNA is filed under the name uncultured bacterium. Its description in RNAcentral is "partial 16S ribosomal RNA". It matches the Rfam family "Bacterial small subunit ribosomal RNA", at positions 338 to 795 of the family's 1533-position model. The record is from RNAcentral.